This is a long non-coding RNA of Drosophila biarmipes, 476 nucleotides long. RefSeq lists it as uncharacterized. NCBI's taxonomy places the organism in Eukaryota, Metazoa, Arthropoda, Insecta, Diptera, Drosophilidae. The record is from RefSeq and is a predicted model, not a curated record. The transcript is spliced from 3 exons.
GAAGACGAGAAAGCUUCCGCAAUGCAAAACAGCUGGGCGCGAAAGAGAGGGGCGCUUGUGCAAGGCGAAAUGCAAAACUGAUAAGAGAAGUCCGCUUAAGUUGCUCUAAUUAUCGGCAGCAACAACAACGCCAACAGUGGCAACGAUAACAACUUCUCAACCGUGCUGAUGAGAGAAGUGCGAGAGAGAGGGGGCGCAGAGGGCGAGUGAGAGGACCAGGCAGCAACAACAUUUACAGCUUUAGCGGCCAAAAGCACAGUGGGGCAAAAGUGGCCAAUAAGGGGCAGUCUUUAAAUUAAUUAAUUUCAUCAUCAAUCUUAUUUCGCCGUACUUCUCCCAUCCUCGAUCCAACUUGCAACAAGUGAACUGCCUUGGCCACACUGUGCCUUAUGCGCCCGUUUAAAAAUAGGUUUUCGCCCAGAUGUCUGUGAGUGUGCUCGUUGGCUUCCAGCAUCUCAUGGUCGCCGCCGUUUGGC